GUUGGGUAACACAAAUCUCUCUACUACACUGUGAUUAUAAAAUACUCAGAAGCAGGCUGUGUCUGAAUUGCCUUCCGCUGUACCCAAACUACAAAUAAACUCUCUCAUGACAACAACAGGUGUUUCUACUUUUAAAGAGCCAAUGAACAUCCAGAUUGGCACGUGGGUUUUUCUGUUGCUCAUUAGAAAAAAGUAGCUUUCAGUCUUGGAUGUGUUUCCUAACCAAUUCCGUGUUUGUUUAAUGAUGGUUGUCCUCCAUGAGACACUGUAGCUUAUUUCACUUCCUCAAAAUCCCCAGAAUGAAUCUAAGAUAACUCAAGAAAUCUGUAAUUAAUUUUGACGUUUUUCCGAAGAGGUUUUAGUUACACAAUUGUACAUCUAACUAAGGUGUUUGGUGCAGUAUUUCGCAACAAUGUCAGAGCUGCUAGGCAGGUCUUUCUCACUGUCUAUAGAUGGGUUAACUGACAACUUCACGAAGAUGAUGUGCACGCUUCAAUGGGGCAGAAGUCCUUGUUUUGUUGUUCUGGACGGCCAGAUAGCUACCAACAAUGACAAGAAACUGCCAUGUGGGGAAUCUUGAGCACGUGACGGUUUUGUUGCUAAACAACCAACCCAUCUAUGCUUUUGGAUAAAGAGCAAUCACCGCAGCUGUUGGGGUGAACAAUCUACACACAAUACCCCAUAAUGACAAAGUGAAAAUAGUUUUUUUCCCCAGAUCUGUGCCUCGACACAAUCCUGAGCUCAAUUUCGAGUCUCAUAGCAAAGGGUCAGAAUACUUAUGUAAAUAAGGUAUUUCUGUUUGUUAUUUGUAAUAAAUGUGUUAAACAUUUCUAAAAACCUGUUUUGUGUGUAGAUUGAUGGGGGAAAACAUUUAUUUAAUACAUUUUAGAAUAAGGCUGUAAUGUAACAGAAUGUGGACAAAGUCAGGGGGUCUGAAUACUUUUCGAAUGCACUGUUCACAUAGUUAUCAUCAGAGUUAUCUUCAGUGAACGUUUCAGAUACAGUAGAUGCCAGACAUGGAUACUAUAGUAUUACUAUAUCACAGUCAAUAGUCAGUCCUCUGAAUACUGUAACAGAGAGACACACUUUGGCCACUCAGAGGUGGGAAGGGCCGACUAGUACUUUGGCAUUGUCUUUUCCUUGUGUUCCUGGACUAUUUGUCAUGCAGCUCCAGGUGUCAGAGAGCACAUAAAUUAGGGCUGAGCCUUCAAAUCCCCCCUGGACAGAAGCUGUACAUGGACAGCCUGUGUCCAAUAUAGGAAAAAAACGGCCCCCACCACAUGAGAGUUCCUUCUUGAGUCUUCAGUCCAGUUUAUGGAACCCAACUUAUAGUCCUUGGCCCAUCAGGUGUGUCUUCCGUGGGAUCGUUGACAAUGUGCUUUUGACAUCCAAAUGCCCCUAGGUACACAUUUCUUCAACCAAGCUCAAUAAAACAUAAUUCUUUGUUAAUUAACGGCAGAAAGAUUACAUCAGUUCAAUCAGUUCUCAACAUUCGAUGAAACAUUAUUACAGUCAAGAUUUACUAGUCACAGUGUGGCUUCGUAACACUAAACAAUACAUUAAUUGCACUCAAAUGGUGCCCACAAACUGUUAGUGCCUACAUAAAGCUGUCCCAACAGCAGAGCUUUCUUUUCAGCACCAUGGAGUGAAUCCUUACCACCACCACACCUGGCUAUCAGUGGAGCCUUGUCUGGCAGCGAAACAGUUCAUUCAGCCUCAUUAAUGACAUGGGACUAGGACAACCCGGCCAGCCAAACCCUUCCCUAACCUGGACGACACUGGGCCAAUUUGUUUGCCAUCUCAUGGGUCUCUCGGUUGCGGCCGGCUGCGACACAGCCUGGGAUCGAACCAGGAUCCGUAGUGACACAGCUAGCACUGCGAAGCAAUGCAUAAGACCUCUGUGCCACUCGGGAGGCCCCCUGAUUUCCUUAUAUGAACUGAAACUCAGUAAAAUUGUUGAAAUUCUU
RNAcentral lists this long non-coding RNA (1967 nucleotides) under Salmo salar (Atlantic salmon). RNAcentral describes it as "lncRNA (ENSSSAG00000098605.1)". Lineage: Eukaryota; Metazoa; Chordata; Actinopteri; Salmoniformes; Salmonidae. The record is from RNAcentral.